AUUGAACGCUGGCGGCAUGCCUUACACAUGCCAGUCGAACGGUAACGGGCCUUCGGGUGCCGACGAGUGGCGAACGGGUGAGUAAUACAUCGGAACGUGCCCGAUCGUGGGGGAUAACGAGGCGAAAGCUUUGCUAAUACCGCAUACGAUCUACGGAUGAAAGCAGGGGACCGCAAGGCCUUGCGCGGACGGAGCGGCCGAUGGCCGAUUAGGUAGUUGGUGGGAUAAAAGCUUACCAAGCCGACGAUCUGUAGCUGGUCUGAGAGGAUGAUCAGCCACACUGGGACUGAGACACGGCCCAGACUCCUGCGGGAGGCAGCAGUGGGGAAUUUUGGACAAUGGGCGCAAGCCUGAUCCAGCCAUGCCGCGUGCAGGAUGAAGGCCUUCGGGUUGUAAACUGCUUUUGUACGGAACGAAAAGCCUUCUUUUAAUACAGGAGGGUCAUGACGGUACCGUAAGAAUAAGCACCGGCUAACUACGUG
Molecule: ribosomal RNA, 482 nt
Filed under: uncultured bacterium
Lineage: Bacteria
Description: partial 16S ribosomal RNA
Rfam family: Bacterial small subunit ribosomal RNA
Source: RNAcentral